UCGGUACCAUUCAAUAUUUUGUCUUUCUCACCACGUUUACACUCACCCUGCCCGUUUUGUCCAGCUGCUUCUUUUUAUUCCGCUUCUUCUGCUCAUCUCCCUUUAGCAAGAGCAUCGUAGCCGUCCCAGAUACCCCCUUGUUAGGGCCUCCUCCUCCUCCUCCUGUCAAGCCCUGUGUCAUCGCCAAUUCUUCCUCGUCCUCUUCGUCGUCCUCCUCCUCGCCCAUCUCGGUUGUUCUCCUGAGGCGCUUUCUGCGAGCAUCUCCUGCUCGAGCGUAGGCCGCGGCCCACAGAAGCGCCAACAGGAGCACUAGCGCCAAGACGGACGUACAGAGCAGCAGUAACCAGGUGGGCAGGCGCUGCGGUUCCAGGCCUGGCGGUAGCUCCAGACCCAACUCGGUGCGAAGCAGGCCCACGCCGGCCGACAGCACAUCCCGCAGCCUGGCGGACACCAUCUCGGCCUGCUGGGCUACAGCCUCUUGCCAGGUCGGCGCAGCCAUGGCUCCCUCGAGCGGGGGCCGAGACCGAGCAGAAACUCACGUCACGCCGAGCGCAUCUCUCGCCCGACAAGAAGCCAAAAGGCCGCUCUACUCGGCUCCCAGCCAACGGGACGAAAAGCAGCGGUUGGUGCCGCUGAGCGACUUUGAUUCGGCUCGGAUAAGGGUCUCCUCAGCCUCUCGCGGCCCAACAGCGCAACGUCACCCCUCCGCAGCGUUCUAGCAAGCGGACGCGUGCGUGGGGGGGGCGCACGGGAUGACGGAAAAGGUCACGUGCAGCUGAAGGAGCCGUUGGUUGGGAGGCGCUGGCUGCGCCUGCGCGUAUGCGCGCUCCGGCCUCCUCCUAUUUCACUGACGGCAGUUCCAUCUCCCGUCUUCCUAUCUUCCUGACUAUGUUAGUCGGCGCAAAAGCGAAGGCUCGUAGGGUACACGUCAUUCCUAUCGUGGGAUUGAGGAGGGACGGGAAGUGUAAGUAGCAAUCUCGACGUGGCAGUGAUUUCCUCGCCGAGGGAGCGGUGGGGUGGUUGAAGGGGAGGAGCUACUGCCCUCGACCACGUCGCUCACUCAGACCUUUGACACAGAUCCUUUGGAGAAAAGUGGAAGAGGAGAAGAGCGUGGAAAUUUCUUUUUGAAACAUUUUAAUAAUAAAACAAAGCUUAGAAAGACUGCCAUAAACAUUCCAGUAGUGAUUCCAGGCAGUGCCAAUCCAGCCAGCUGCUAUUUGUCCCACAGCUGUGAGUAGCAGCAAAUAAAGAAUCGGAGGGCAGGACCCAAAACAAAAGGUUCAUAUUGGAAGAAUGACAAUUGUUGACUAAAGAAUAGGAAAAACUUCCUGACGAUUCAUGUGGUUCGAUAGCAGAUCGGCCUGGGAAGGUGGUAAACUCUUCUUCAGAUGGAUGCUGUAGCUGUGGAUUUCCUUCAUUCACAGAGGACUUGUGGGAUCCCUUCCAAUGCUAUGAUUUUGUGAGCCUUUCAUGGUUUGACAUGGGAAAUCUUAGUAACGUAUAAAAAUGGUGGUUACUUAUUGAGCUAAUGGGACACUGCUUGUUUCCUCUAGCGCAAUUCUACUGUAUUGCAUAUGUAGCACAGAAACAAAAAAUCUAGUAUCUGCUAUUCUAUCAGGCCCAUGGAGAGUUGUGAAGCCAGACCACUCCACCAGCUUAACUGUGCCGAGCAACUUUUGGCUCCUCUUUCCUUGACUUUUGGCUCCUCUUUCCUCAACUUUUGGCUCCUCUUUCCUCGACUUUUGGCUCCUCUUUCCUCGACUUUUGGCUCCUCUUUCCUCGACUUUUGGCUCCUCUUUCCUCGACUUUUGGCUCCUCUUUCCUCGACUUUUGGCUCCUCUUUCCUCGACUUUUGGCUCCUCUUUCCUCGACUUUUGGCUCCUCUUUCCUCGACUUUUGGCUCCUCUUUCCUCGACUUUUGGCUCCUCUUUCCUCGACUUUUGGCUCCUCUUUCCUCGACUUUUGGCUCCUCUUUCCUCUAACUCUUUCCCUUCCACCUGUUUGAAUUGUGUAACUAAGAACUAGUGCUUCAUUUUACUUUUUUCUUCCUCCCUCCCAGUCCCUUUUCCUUGUUGUCCUAUUCUUUAAGAUUGUAAACCUUAAGGCAGGAACUGUUACUGAUCUUGGUAUGCUGUGCUGGGAGACAUUGUUUGGCUGAAGAGCAGUGCAAACUGUUUUAAAUGGGGGUGACUAACCACUGGCCUGGGUGCCUUAUCAGGCCUCCCAAGUAAAUUUUACUGGCCCCUCAAGACCCCACUGAUUUUGGCAGUAAUAAAAAUUAGAUACCCAGCAUCCUGAUUGGUAUGCAAAUCUCCCCCUUUGGGCCAUAACAUGAUCAUUUGAUGAGCAGGGAGCACUCAAUAACUCCCUCCUUGGCUGAUCUGCAUGGAUCAGCUGUGGAGCAGGACUGUGUGGUUGCAUGAGAGUAUGCACCUGUGAAAGAGUGUAGGGGUAGGCACACACAAUUUUGGCCAUACCCUACCCAGAGGGUUAGCCAAGGCAUAUGUAGUCUUCAAGCCCAAAUAGGUUAGCUACCCUGGUUGAAAGAAAGAAAUUUCUUUUGCAGAACCAUUUUACUCAAAAUAUUCCUAACAACAAAAACAUUCUCCAAACCCUGAUCUUUACAUAGCAGAAAUAGUACCAGCCACACACAAGAUACCAACAAGCCAAGGUUUGCAGAAGUACAACAACAUUCUUGGUUAAAACAACACUAACUUAUGGGGGGAACGCUCUGAAACAACCCAGAGAGAUGCCCAGUAGCUAUGGAACAUUAAGUAUCCUUUUUUGAGGAGAGAGAACAAAGCCAGGGUAGGGGACAUAAAAUGGAGUGCCUUGGAAAGGGGCAUGGCUAGCUGGAACCCUGAAAGAGAGCACUCUGUAAUGCUACAUUCUGUGGCUGGUCCGACUUGUUAUACAUAUAUGCUAGGUCAGUGAUUCCCAAUCUGGGGAUCAUGAAGUCAUCCCAGGGGGGUUGAAAAGAACUAAGAGAAGAAUUAUUAAUUUAAAAAAAUAAUUAAUGGCUGGUCUUUGCACCUCCGAUUUGUGAAUCUGCAUUGCAUGUGCACGCAGUUGCUUCCGCCUCCCCUUCCUUCCGGCUGGCACAGUCAGUUCCCGCCACACAGAGAGCUGAGCAGUACAACAGUCGAAUGAGUGCAUCAAGGGAAGGGGCCAGCUGGCCUUACUUAAUAUCCGGUGCCUCUCCCCAGCUCUUUUGUCAAUGGCAGUGGGGGAAGAUUGAUCAAGUUGAUUGGCUCUGGGAGUCCUGGAGCGUCCCCCCAUAAAUACACACCUGGGCACUCAUUAAAAAUUCACUGUACGGUUAACUUAUAGUACAAUAUACAUGUCUACUCAGAAGUAAGUCUCUUCAUAUGGGGCUUACUCCCAGGUAAAUCAAAUUGUAGUAAUCAUACCACACUAAGAUUCUGUUGAAACUCUGAAGCUGGACUAUUUUGGUGUGGAGGGGGAUGGGGCUUUCUAGUACAAAGAAGAAAGGAAGCUAUAGGAAAUAAAAAUUUAUGUCUAUAACAUAAGGACUUAGGCUGCAAUCCUAAUCAGGUCUACUCAGAAGUAAGUCCUAUAGAAUUCAGUGGAGCAACAGCCAUAUGCGGUAGGUUAUGCUGAGUUAGUGGCUGACCUAAGGCAGUAAGUAAGCAAAAAAAUAUGGGUAAAGUAAGUUUUAAAAAUGUGAAAUUACAUAUGUUCAGUGUAUUUUUGUUGCUAUUAAGGCUUUGAGUGUGUUUCUACAUAGCUGUAUAUAUUCAUUUUAAAAUACUUUAAAAUAUGUUAAGUUGCCCAAAUUUUGUUGUUUAGGGUUGGCACUGGGGAAGAGCAGUGCUCUUGUGUCUUUAACAGCAGUGUGGCAGACAGAAAGUAAACAGAAAUUAAAUUAAGCCUUUUCUAGUAAGGAAAUACAAUUUAUGGGGAAAGCUUCACCUGUUAACAUUCUGUCUGUCAGACAUUAUUACUGUCAUAUGGUGCUUCCUCAGCCUAGUGCUGAAGAGGAGGCAUUGUUGUGAACAGAUGGAACACUUAAAGAGUCCGAAUGCCCUGGCAUCAACCAGGCUCUGUUCACCACUCUGGGUGGUUUACCUUUAUCUUCUUUUCAUUUCCUUCAAAAUUUGUUAAAAGUUGUUUAUAUUGCUGUAACCUGCCCUGGGACUGUCUGGUGAAGGACAGAUAAUAAAUAUCAACAUAAUCAUA
This is a long non-coding RNA of Rhineura floridana, 4200 nucleotides long. RefSeq lists it as uncharacterized. Lineage: Eukaryota; Metazoa; Chordata; Lepidosauria; Squamata; Rhineuridae. The record is from RefSeq and is a predicted model, not a curated record. The transcript is spliced from 2 exons.